RNAcentral lists this ribosomal RNA (397 nucleotides) under uncultured bacterium. RNAcentral's name for it is "partial 16S ribosomal RNA". It matches the Rfam family "Bacterial small subunit ribosomal RNA", at positions 523 to 918 of the family's 1533-position model. The record is from RNAcentral.
AUACGUAGGGGGCGAGCGUUGUCCGGAAUGAUUGGGCGUAAAGGGCGCGUAGGCGGCCCGGUAAGUCUGGAGUGAAAGUCCUGUUUUUAAGAUGGGAAUUGCUUUGGAUACUGUCGGGCUUGAGUGCAGGAGAGGUAAGUGGAAUUCCCAGUGUAGCGGUGAAAUGCGUAGAGAUUGGGAGGAACACCAGUGGCGAAGGCGACUUACUGGACUGUAACUGACGCUGAGGCGCGAAAGUGUGGGGAGCAAACAGGAUUAGAUACCCUGGUAGUCCACACUGUAAACGAUGAAUGCUAGGUGUAAGAGGUAUCGACCCCUUUUGUGCCGGAGUCAACACAAUAAGCAUUCCGCCUGGGGAGUACGGCCGCAAGGUUGAAACUUAAAGGAAUUGACGGGG